GGAGCCGGUGAGGUGGUCGCGGGUUCGUUCCGCGAGGAACGGUUCUGAGGAAAGUCCGAGCUCCCUAGGGCAGGGUGCUGGGUAAUCCCCAGUGGGAGCGAUCCCCAGGAAAGUGCCACAGAAAACAGACCGCCAGGACCCGUGCGGCUGCGGCCGCCGCGGGUUCGGGUAAGGGUGAAACGGUGAGGUAAGAGCUCACCAGCGCCCGCGGUGACGCGGGCGGCUCGGCAAACCCCACUCGGAGCAAGACCGCAUAGGGGAGGAGAGGUGGCCCGCCUCGCGUUCACUCCCGGGUAGGUCGCUCGAGGCGCUCGGCAGCGAGCGUCCCAGAGAAAUGAUCACCGCGGAUCCGCCACGGAUCCGAACAGAACUCGGCUUACGGCUGGCUCCGAUC
This 394-nucleotide RNase P RNA is filed under the name Candidatus Eiseniibacteriota bacterium. Its description in RNAcentral is "RNase P RNA component class A". It matches the Rfam family "Bacterial RNase P class A". From Rfam's summary of the family: Ribonuclease P (RNase P) is a ubiquitous endoribonuclease, found in archaea, bacteria and eukarya as well as chloroplasts and mitochondria. Its best characterised activity is the generation of mature 5'-ends of tRNAs by cleaving the 5'-leader elements of precursor-tRNAs. The record is from RNAcentral. Lineage: Bacteria; Candidatus Eiseniibacteriota.